AGGUGGGGCUGAUGACUGGGGUGAAGUCGUAACAAGGUAUCCGUACCGGAAGGUGCGGAUGGAUCACCUCCUAACAGGGAGACAACACAAUGAUUUUGAUGCCUGAGUGCUUUUAUUCUUAGGCCGAAAUCCUGUCACCUUAGGUCGAUCGGUACCUCAGCUUUGAAGUCAAGGAUCAGCAGCAAUGUUGAUUGCUUGAUGGAGAUUUUCAGUUCCUAAACUUUGUCUAGGUCACACCCCAAAAGGGAUGAGACUCCUGGGCCAUUAGCUCAGGUGGUUAGAGCGCACCCCUGAUAAGGGUGAGGUCCCUGGUUCAAGUCCAGGAUGGCCCAUUCGGUGUUGGGGGUUUAGCUCAGUUGGUAGAGCGCCUGCUUUGCAAGCAGGAUGUCAGGAGUUCGAGUCUCCUAACCUCCACUGACCGAACUUGAUUCCCAUCUCCAAUUUUUUGGAGUUGAGCUCGAUUGGAGUGUGAUUUAGAUGUGUCCGCUGGAUGACCCCAGCUUCCUGUCAUUCCAAGUUUUAGAUUUUAAGUCUUGAAUUUGGUUGAUAAGAUGCUGGGCUCAGAUCAAAUGAUCAAGCAAUUGAUGAUUUGAUUUGAAGUUCUAGCAGAACCUUGACAACUGCAUAGGUGAGUCUGGAAAAAACAAAGCAUCUUACAGAUGCAUUGUUUUGAAUCUGAUCUUCUGAAAGGGAGAUUGGA
RNAcentral lists this unclassified non-coding RNA (700 nucleotides) under uncultured Synechococcus sp. RNAcentral describes it as "partial may contain 16S ribosomal RNA, 16S-23S ribosomal RNA intergenic spacer, and 23S ribosomal RNA". The stretch from base 342 to 414 matches the Rfam family "tRNA". The record is from RNAcentral. Lineage: Bacteria; Bacillati; Cyanobacteriota; Cyanophyceae; Synechococcales; Synechococcaceae.